GUGCAGCAGUCGCGAAAACUCCGCAAUACGCGAAAGCGUGACGGGGCCAUCCCGAGUGCCGUCCGCUGAGGAUGGCUUUUCUCUGCUGUAAGAAGGCAGAGGAAUAAGGAGAGGGCAAGUCUGGUGUCAGCCGCCGCGGUAAUACCAGCUCUCCGAGUGGUAGGGAUGAUUAUUGGGCUUAAAGCGUCCGUAGCUGGCCUUUCAAGUCUCUUGUUAAAUCCAGCGAUUCAAUCGUUGGACUGCGGGAGAUACUGUUAGGCUAGGGGGCGGGAGAAGCCGACGGUAUUUCCGGGGUAGGGGUAAAAUCCUAUAAUCCCGGGAAGACCACCAGUGGCGUAGGCGGUCGGCUAGCACGCGCUCGACAGUGAGGGACGAAAGCUGGGGUAGCGAACCGGAUUAGAUACCCGGGUAGUCC
Molecule: ribosomal RNA, 415 nt
Filed under: uncultured crenarchaeote
Lineage: Archaea; Thermoproteati; Thermoproteota
Description: partial 16S ribosomal RNA
Rfam family: Archaeal small subunit ribosomal RNA
Source: RNAcentral